Molecule: ribosomal RNA, 495 nt
Filed under: uncultured bacterium
Lineage: Bacteria
Description: partial 16S ribosomal RNA
Rfam family: Bacterial small subunit ribosomal RNA
Source: RNAcentral
GAUUAACGCUGGCGGCAUGCCUAAUACAUGCAAGUCGAUCGGGGAGCUUGCUCCCAGAGGCGAACGGGUGAGUAACACGUAUCUAAUCUGCCCUAUAGUUUGGAAUAACUACUAGAAAUGGUAGCUAAUGCCGAAUAGAGCGAAAAUGGAAUCUUUUUUAAUCUAAAGGCCCGUUUGGGUCGCUAUAGGAUGAGGAUGCGGUGCAUUAGCUAGUUGGCGGGGUAAUGGCCCACCAAGGCGAUGAUGCAUAGCCGGCCUGAGAGGGUGAACGGCCAAACUGGAACUGAGACACGGUCCAGACUCCUACGGGAGUCAGCAGUAGGGAAUUUUUCACAAUGGGCGAAAGCCUGAUGGGGCAAUGCCGCGUGAGUGAUGAAGGUCUUCGGAUUGUAAAGCUCUGUUGUAAGGGAAAAACGAUCGGGUUAGGAAAUGAACUCGGUGUGAUGGUACCUUACCAGAAAGCCACGGCUAACUACGUGCCAGCAGCCGCCGUAA